Molecule: long non-coding RNA, 313 nt
Organism: Cyprinodon variegatus (sheepshead minnow)
Lineage: Eukaryota; Metazoa; Chordata; Actinopteri; Cyprinodontiformes; Cyprinodontidae
Exons: 3
Source: RefSeq, a predicted model, not a curated record
UUUUUGUGCUCUCCUAGCCUCUCACCAGCAGCUGCCACCACAAAUUCAGCUUUCUGUCCAGGAGAACAAGAAACCACAACCAGGCAGGCAGAAUCCCUUCAUGUCAAAGUUCGAAGUGUCUGAGCAGCAGCAGCAGCCUGAAGUUCCGGUGUCUGUCAGUGACGAUGAAGACAGAGAAAUUAACGGAAGCUGGGAAAUGUUCAUGUCAUCAUUAGAAGGCGAUGAACCAAACCCAGACGAUAUCAGAAUUGUUCUGAUAGGGAAGACUGGCAAUGGGAAAAGCUCAUCAGGAAACACCAUUUUAGGAAGAAAA